Molecule: long non-coding RNA, 1974 nt
Filed under: Gouania willdenowi (blunt-snouted clingfish)
Lineage: Eukaryota; Metazoa; Chordata; Actinopteri; Blenniiformes; Gobiesocidae
Description: lncRNA (ENSGWIG00000023496.1)
Source: RNAcentral
UCAUGAAAAAAAAAUAUUUGUUUAUUUCAGGUAUGGGUGAUCCUGAGGGUUGGGUCACAGGCUGGGCCCAGCCCGACGGUUGGGUCGCAGGCUGGGUCCAGCCCGAGGGUUGGGUCGCAGGCUGGCAGCAUCCACUGAUGGAGGAGGAGGAGGAGAAAGAUGGAGGAGCAUCAGUCCACUACAUUGUCCCAUGAUCAGCCCCAGGAGGAGAUAUCAGCAGAGGAAGGAAAUACUUUAAUCCUAAACGAUGUAAGCAAAACCUCUCAUUUACACAAAAAUACACUGAUUAAGUUUAAUAUAAAAAUAGACGUCACAUUUUACUAACGCCUGUAAAAUGUCGUAGAGGAACUCCAGCAUCCACUGAUGGAGGAAGAGAAGAAAGAUGGAGGACGGGAGCGCCAGCAUCUACCAAUGGAGGAGAAGAAAGACAUUUAUUUAAACAAUGUAAGCAAAACCUCUUAUUUACACAGAAAGACAUUGAACAAUUUUUUAGUGUAAAAAUGCUGUCAUUGGUAAAAAUGUUGUAAAAUGUAAAUUGUAAAAUGUUCACCACAGUGUCCCUAAUCAGCUCCAGGAGGAGACACCAGCAGAGGAAAGAAAGACUAAUGACCAAAACAAUGUAAGUAAAACUAAAGCCUCUAAAAUGUCGUAGAGGAAUGCCAGCAUCCACUGAUGGAGGAGGAGGAGAAAGAUGGAGGAGCAUCAGUCCACUACAGUGUCCCAUAAGCAGCCCCAGGAGGAGAUAUCAGCAGAGGAAAGAAAUACUUUAAUCCUAAACAAUGUAAGCAAAACCUCUCAUUUACACAAAAAUACACUGCAUACGUUUAUUGUAAAAAUAGACGUCACGUUUUACUAACGCCUGUAAAAUGUCGUAGAGGAACGCCAGCAUCCACUGAUGGAGGAAGAGAAGAAAGAUGGAGGACGGGAGCGCCAGCAUCUACCAAUGGAGGAGAAGAAAGACAUUUAUUAAAACAAUGUAAGCAAAACCUCUCAUUUACACAAAAUAACACUGAACAUUUUUUUAUUGUAAAGAUGCUGUCAUUGGUAAAAAAAAAGAAAUAUAUGUUGCUUUACACUAAUGCUUGUAAAAUGUUCACCACAGUGUCCCUAAUCAGCUCCAGGAGGAGACACCAGCAGAGGAAAGAAAGACUAAUGACCAAAACAAUAGGAAUGCCAGCAUCCACUGAUGGAGGAGGAGGAGAAAGAUGGGGGAGCAUCAGUCCACUACAGUGUCCCAUAAGCAGCCCCAGGAGGAGAUAUCAGCAGAGGAAAGAAAUACUUUAAUCCUAAACAAUGUAAGCAAAACCUCUCAUUUACACAAAAAUACACUGAUUACGUUUAAUGUAAAAAUAGACGUCACAUUUUACUAACGCCUGUAAAAUGUCGUAGAGGAACGCCAGCAUCCACUGAUGGAGGAAGAGAAGAAAGAUGGAGGACAGGAGCGCCAGCAUCUACCAAUGGAGAAGAAAGACAUUUAUUAAAACAAUGUAAGCAAAACUUCUCAUUUACACAGAGACGUUUUACUAACGCCUGUAAUAUGUCGUAGAGGAAUGCCAGCAUCCACUGAUGGAGGAAGAGGAGAAAGAUGGAGGAGCAUCAGUCCACUACAGUGUCCCAUAAGCAGCCCCAGGAGGAGAUAUCAGCCGAGGAAAGAAAUACUUUAAUACUAAACAAUGUAAGUAAAACCUCUCAUUUACACAAAAAUACACUGAAUACGUUUAAUGUUAAAAUAGACGUCACAUUUUACUAACGCCUGUAAAAUGUCGUAGAGGAACUCCAGCAUCCACUGAUGGAGGAAGAGAAGAAAGAUGGAGGACGGGAGCGCCAGCAUCUGCCAAUGGAGGAGAAGAAAGACAUUUAUUAAAACAAUGUAAGCAAAACCUCUUCUUUACACAGAAAGACACUGAACAAUAUUUUUUUUGUAAAAAUGCUGUCAUUGGUAAAAAAAAGAAAUAUAUGUUGCUUUACACUAAU